GUGCUUGCUUUGUCAGCAUAUAUACUAAAACUGGAAUGGUACAGAGAAGAUUAGCAUGGCCUCUGCACAAGUAUGACACAUAGAAUGCUUGGACUAGCUUAGUGGCAACUUCUU
This is a small nuclear RNA of Monodelphis domestica (gray short-tailed opossum), 114 nucleotides long. Lineage: Eukaryota; Metazoa; Chordata; Mammalia; Didelphimorphia; Didelphidae. The record is from Ensembl.